Molecule: transfer-messenger RNA, 92 nt
Filed under: Rhodospirillaceae bacterium
Lineage: Bacteria; Pseudomonadati; Pseudomonadota; Alphaproteobacteria; Rhodospirillales; Rhodospirillaceae
Description: partial transfer-messenger RNA
Rfam family: Alphaproteobacteria transfer-messenger RNA
About the family: Bacterial tmRNA, also known as 10Sa RNA or SsrA, is named for its dual tRNA and mRNA-like properties. Its role is to liberate the mRNA from a stalled ribosome.
Source: RNAcentral
AUGCAAACGAUAACAAUGAAGCAUUUGCGGUUGCCGCUUAAUCGCUAAGCAACCACGGGGUCCGGGGGCACCUAGCAACAGAAGCCCCCACU